This is a non-coding RNA of Pseudonaja textilis, 977 nucleotides long. NCBI's taxonomy places the organism in Eukaryota, Metazoa, Chordata, Lepidosauria, Squamata, Elapidae. The record is from RefSeq and is a predicted model, not a curated record.
AAGGAAGAGAAAAUAAAAUAGGCCUUAGACCUAAAUUUAUGACUGGAGAUUCUAGAGUGUAUUUCAGACUCUUUAUGUGGCACUGGAGAAAGGAAAUAUAAACAUUUCUCUUGCCACAAUAUUAUUCUAAAAAAAAAAGAAGCAACUAACAGUGGGAAUUGUGUCUAGAGCAGUGGCUACACUGCAAGAUGAAAGUAAGAUGAAAAUAUCCCAGUGUAGCUAUUAACCUAACAUGAGAAGAGAUAAUAAGAAAAGUUCAGUACCAAAUACAGGUUACUGGUGAUGACUCUGGCAGAAGAGGCAUGCUCUGGAUCCUGUCAGCCAAGGAUCUGUGGCUAGUGGGGUCUGGAAGAUCUUUUUUUUUUUUUUGCCAUGGAUGAGAUCUGCCGUGAUCUUCCGAAAGGGUCUGAAAAUCUGGCUCUUCCAACUGACUUGGGGUCCUGAUGGGGGGUCCCAUUCGGGGGGUUGGUUAAUAGAUUAGACUUAAGAUUUCACAUUGACCCAAUUUACACAUUGGUUCUUUUAUCAGGUUCACUGUUAAUGUUAAUGUUUUUAAUUUUAAUGUUUACAGUUUUAAUAUUUUUAAAUUUUUAAUUGUCUACAUUGUUAUUAAUGAUACUGCAAGACAUGCAAAGCCACAAUAAUGAGAUAGAUGGCAUAAAUAAAUAUAUUACUUAUAUAUAAUAAAUAAACAAAUGUAAAUAAUCUCAUAAUAUGAAUUUAACCUUACUAGAUUGCAUUGGUGGGAGUAUAAGAAAAUGGAUACAUAGUUCUUUUAUCUAGCCAUCUUUCAUAUUGAGUCCUGUUAUUGUUUUAAUGUAUUGUCCUUAUCUCUCAAAGACUUAAAUAUGUAUUUAAUUCAAUAAGUACAGAAAAUUGUUCCAACCAAAUUAAGAAAUAGCAAAAAAGCUCUGAGAAGUUUAGUUAACAAUAAAUAUAUUCAAAUUUAUAAGCAAUGUUAAAUUCACAAUGUUUCU